AGCUCCAAUAGCGUAUAUUAAAGUUGUUGCAGUUAAAACGCUCGUAGUUCGAUUUCUGGAGGCAGUUUUCUGGGCUUCCCUGUUCGGGAGGCUCGUUGCUGUCUUCAUCCUUCUGUUAACUCAUCUCGGCAUUCAUUUGUUGGUUGAGGGCUCAGAUACUUUACCUUGAGGAAAUUAGAGUGUUUCAGGCAGGCUUUCGCUUGAAUACAUUAGCAUGGAAUAAUAGAAUAGGACUCCUACUCAUUGUUGGUUUAUGAUGGGAGUAAUGAUUAAUAGGGAUAGUUGGGGGCAUUAGUAUUUGAUUGUCAGAGGUGAAAUUCUUUAAUUUGUCAAAGACUAACUUAUGCGAAAGCAUUUGCCAAGAAUGUUUUCGUUA
Molecule: ribosomal RNA, 376 nt
Filed under: Aspidisca sp.
Lineage: Eukaryota; Ciliophora; Spirotrichea; Euplotida; Aspidiscidae
Description: partial small subunit ribosomal RNA
Rfam family: Eukaryotic small subunit ribosomal RNA
Source: RNAcentral